This 441-nucleotide ribosomal RNA is filed under the name uncultured bacterium. RNAcentral's name for it is "bacterial SSU rRNA". It matches the Rfam family "Bacterial small subunit ribosomal RNA", at positions 355 to 787 of the family's 1533-position model. The record is from RNAcentral.
UGGGGAAUCUUCCGCAAUGGGCGAAAGCCUGACGGAGCAAUGCCGCGUGAGUGAAGAAGGCCUUCGGGUUGUAAAACUCUGUCCUUAUCGAAGAGAGGUGGGUAUGUGAAUAAUGUACCUAUAGGACGGUAGAUAAGGAGGAAGCCCCGGCUAACUACGUGCCAGCAGCCGCGGUAAUACGUAGGGGGCGAGCGUUGUCCGGAAUCACUGGGCGUAAAGGGCGCGUAGGCGGUUUAAUAAGUCAGUGGUGAAAACUGAGGGCUCAACCCUCAGCCUGCCACUGAUACUGUUAGACUUGAGUAUGGAAGAGGAGAAUGGAAUUCCUAGUGUAGCGGUGAAAUGCGUAGAUAUUAGGAGGAACACCAGUGGCGAAGGCGAUUCUCUGGGCCAAGACUGACGCUGAGGCGCGAAAGCUGGGGGAGCGAACAGGAUUAGAUACCC